Molecule: long non-coding RNA, 222 nt
Filed under: Oryza brachyantha (malo sina)
Lineage: Eukaryota; Viridiplantae; Streptophyta; Magnoliopsida; Poales; Poaceae
Description: long non-coding RNA (OBRA_LNC003601)
Source: RNAcentral
AAAUGAAAUAAUAGUAGUACCAUCAUGCACCACUUCAUGAAAAACUGUUAUGCCUUCCAUAGUAUAUUCCGAAGAAGCUGUUUUAGUGAAAGAACAGGCAAAAAUAGCCCAUCUUGAAAAAAUUAGUUGGUAUCUAUGUUUGGAUAGAAGGAGCAUCUAUGCUUUUGAUAAAUGGAUAUACCAUACCAAAAUCAAGCCUAUCCAAGGACAAGGAACUAUUUA